Molecule: ribosomal RNA, 460 nt
Filed under: uncultured bacterium
Lineage: Bacteria
Description: partial 16S ribosomal RNA
Rfam family: Bacterial small subunit ribosomal RNA
Source: RNAcentral
CCUACGGGUGGCAGCAGUGAGGAAUAUUGGUCAAUGGACGAGAGUCUGAACCAGCCAAGUAGCGUGAAGGAUGACUGCCCUAUGGGUUGUAAACUUCUUUUAUCUGGGAAUAAAAUGUUCCACGUGUGGGAUUUUGUAUGUACCAUAUGAAUAAGGAUCGGCUAACUCCGUGCCAGCAGCCGGGGUAAUACGGAGGGUCCGAACGUUAUCCGGAUUUAUUGGGUUUAAAGGGAGCGUAGGUGGAGUGGUAAGUCAGUUGUGAAAGUUUGCGGCUCAACCGUAAAAUUGCAGUUGAAACUGGCAGUCUUGAGUACAGUAGAGGUGUGCGGAAUUCGUGGUGUAGCGGUGAAAUGCUUGGAUAUCACGAAGAACUCCGAUUGCGAAGGCAGUUCACUGGACUGCAACUGACACUGAGGCUCGAAAGUGUGGGUAUCAAACAGGAUUAGAUACCCGAGUAGUC